RNAcentral lists this long non-coding RNA (586 nucleotides) under Capsella rubella. Its description in RNAcentral is "long non-coding RNA (CRUB_LNC002868)". Lineage: Eukaryota; Viridiplantae; Streptophyta; Magnoliopsida; Brassicales; Brassicaceae. The record is from RNAcentral.
UACAAUGCGUUCAAAUUUCAUUGAAUUUCCGAAUUACAAUGUCUAGUCCGCCAAAAAUCUUCUCUAGAUAAUAUUUUUGAAACAUUGUAAUGUGUGCCACUGAAUUUAUAUUUGAUUUUUUAGAAAGAUAUAUUCUAAAUACAAUUUGCUGUCAAUCUAAAAUCCGCACAAUUCUAAUCGUGAAAAAAAAAAAAAAAUGAUUUAAUUUUGAUAAAUGUUAAAUUUUAGUGACUAGAGAACUGUUAAUCUCGAUAAAUAUGACUUGGUUGGGACGACGAAUGUCAAUCACAAAAAAAAAAAAAAAAGUAUUUCAAAAACUAUAACUAAUGAUCGCUUGAGUAUUUUCAAAAUUUUUUUUUUUUUUUUAUCUAAGGUGUUGUAAAUGAAAAUAUAGGAAAUGAUGUUUUCACAUAUUAGAAAAUAGAAGUUAUACUUAAGUACCAAAACCCUACUUUCAUAAAAACUCAAAUUAUUCCUCACCAAAAAAAAAAAAAACUCAAAUAAUUAGUUGUUCAACUGUGGGAUAUACAUAGAUUUAAACUCAUACAGUAAAUUAAAAGUAUGGGUGUGAAUGCAUCGUAUAAGG